Non-coding RNA from Phrynosoma platyrhinos (Desert horned lizard), 72 nucleotides. The record is from the annotation of a GenBank genome assembly. NCBI's taxonomy places the organism in Eukaryota, Metazoa, Chordata, Lepidosauria, Squamata, Phrynosomatidae.
GGAUCACUGGUGUAGUGGUUUGAGUGCUGGACAACAGCUCUCGAGUCCAAGGUUCGAUUCCUAGCUUGGCCA